This 433-nucleotide ribosomal RNA is filed under the name uncultured bacterium. RNAcentral describes it as "partial 16S ribosomal RNA". It matches the Rfam family "Bacterial small subunit ribosomal RNA", at positions 29 to 507 of the family's 1533-position model. The record is from RNAcentral.
AACGAACGCUGGCGGCAUGCCUAACACAUGCAAGUCGAACGAGACCUUCGGGCCUAGUGGCGCACGGGUGCGUAACGCGUGGGAACCUGCCCUUAGGUUCGGAAUAACUCUCCGAAAGGGGUGCUAAUACCGGAUAAUGUCUUCGGACCAAAGAUUUAUCGCCUUUGGAUGGGCCCGCGUUGGAUUAGCUAGUUGGUAGGGUAAAAGCCUACCAAGGCGACGAUCCAUAGCUGGUCGGAGAGGAUGCACAGCCACACUGGGACUGAGCCACGGCCCAGACGCGAGGGGGAGGCGGCGGUGGGUAAACGAGAGGAGUAGGCGAAACUCAGCGACGCCACGGCGGGGUAGAAAAGCAUCGCAUUGUAGUAGAAAUGCACUUUGACCGGGGCGAUUAUUGACAGUACCGAGAGAAGAAGCUCCGGCUAACUCCGUG